ACGGGAGGCAGCAGCUAAGAAUAUUCCGCAAUGGACGAAAGUCUGACGGAGCGACGCCGCGUGGAUGAUGAAGGCCGGAAGGUUGUAAAAUCCUUUUAAGCAUGAAGAAUAAGCAUUAUGAGAGAAACGUAGUGCGGUGACGGUAGUGCUUGAAUAAGCAACGGCUAAUUACGUGCCAGCAGCCGCGGUAACACGUAAGUUGCGAGCGUUGUUCGGAAUUAUUGGGCGUAAAGGGCAUGUAGGCGGUUUAGCAAGCUUGGUGUGAAAGGCAGGAGCUUAACUCCUGGACUGCGUUGAGAACUGCAUAACUAGAGUGACUGAGGGGCAGGCAGAAUUCCAGGUGUAGGGGUGAAAUCUGUAGAUAUCUGGAAGAAUACCAAUGGCGAAGGCAGCCUGCCAGCAGAUGACUGACGCUGAGGUGCGAAGGUGCGGGGAGCAAACAGGAUUAGAUACCCUGGUA
RNAcentral lists this ribosomal RNA (460 nucleotides) under uncultured Treponema sp. RNAcentral's name for it is "partial 16S ribosomal RNA". It matches the Rfam family "Bacterial small subunit ribosomal RNA", at positions 341 to 792 of the family's 1533-position model. The record is from RNAcentral. Lineage: Bacteria; Pseudomonadati; Spirochaetota; Spirochaetia; Treponematales; Treponemataceae.